AGAGGUGGGGGCUUAGUUUAAUGUUUUGAAAAUGAAAAAUUGGUUUCUAGGAGAGCAAUGAUAAAGUGUUUGUAUGUGAUUAUAUAUUAUAUGCUGAGCAGAGGGUCUUGACCUCGAUAUCUGCUGACCCCCAAGGAUCAUUUAGUGUCAGUGUGAUUGAUUUGCAUUGGUUGUGUAAAUAUUUUAACUAUUUUAUGACACGACCGCGAGAACAACCGGAGAAAUGGAUACGUGAAAGGAAGAAUAUAGGUGUGGUCAUUCGUGCAACACAACUGACAAGAGAUAGUGACGACAAUGUCGAUGGUGUGAUGCGUGUACGUACGUAUAAAAACGAGAUGAAUUAAGCGAAAUGAGCGAUUUAGAAUUGAUUUUGAAAUUGUGUGUGCACGCACAAGGAGAAAUAGAAAUAGAGGGAAAUGAUGAAAGAGAGGGGAAAAAAAGAGAAAAAUACGAGAGAGAGAGAAGAGACAAAGAGAUAGUCAUGGAGUGAGAGGGCCGGUAGUGGUGGCGUUAAGGAUUGGGGAUUGCGACUGCGCUUGGGCUUGCGCGAAAUGUAGUAAACAUAGAGUCGCGCCGGCGAUAGCACGUUAAACAUAUCUCUCUCGUUGCUCGUCUCUGAUGAACAGUUUCAACGGCAUGGAGGGAACCAAUUUCCCCAGAACAAAAUACCUACGGAUCAAUGCGUGUGUGUGUAUGUAUAUAUAGACGUCAAUAUGUCCGUCGGUCUGUCUAUAUACAUCAUACAGACACGCGCGCCUACUAUCUCACCCUGAGUCGUACAGGUUAACGAGCAGGGCCUCUUGAAAUAUCUUUGCUGCUAUACAAUCUCCGAGCAAUGGAAGAAUAGGUAUUUCUUAAAUGAACAACCCGUUUUGUCUUUGUUAACUCUUUCAGUCACACCUAGUUUGGCGGAGUAAAAAGAAAAAUGGACGACAUGAGAGGAUCGUGACGUAAUUCGUCUUUCAACUUAAGGAUUCAAGAGUCAAACACAAUAUCUCAGGUACUUUUCACAGUAAAAAGAGUAAGUAGUACACAUCUAGUCCAGCUAUUAACUCUAAUUUAUCAUACACCAUUUAGUACCAUUACAGUUACUUAACAUACUACUACCAACACAUAAUAGAACUAUUACAAGGUUAUAUUGUUCUUAACAAUGGAAGAUUAAAACUGUUAAACGGUUAAUGGUAAAUUUGAGUUUUCAGGAUGCCAGCCUAUCAAUCAAUUGGUUUUCAUCCCAUCACUAGCACUGAUCUCUUUAAUGGUGAAAUCCAUGUAAUUGUAAAUCUUGGACAGACUACAGUUCACCAUUAUAAGCAGUUUAACCCUUUCAUUACUAUAUUUCUGUUGAAAUUCACUGUUUUUACUUCAAUAAAUUUUGAAAAUAAUGAAGGGUUUGAUAGAAUUACUUAAGCACUAUUAAUACAUAAAGCGUGAUGGGCCACGAUCGUUACUGUCAGGCACAGGUCAACAGGCCACAAUCAUGGCCCAUAUAGAUGCAUUUAAUUUAUGGGUGUUUGUUGGGGUCUAAUGUCUCUCAAACACUCCGAUACCCCCCAGAAUGCAAGAGGACUAAUAGUUUAACUAAUGACUUUUCAGAUGAUGUAAAACUUGCCACCAUUAUAUACUAAGAAGAUAUUUUAACUAUUUUUUUUUUGUUUUUUAUGUGUGCAUGGUAUCUCAUUUCCAUAAUAUGUGCUCAGCAGUUCAUGCAAUGUAAGUGCAAGUCCCAGCACUUUAUGGGUUAAAUUUGGAACAUGAAUUAAUUUGAAAUUUUUAGAGAAGGCUUUGAUUUAGAUCACUUAAAAACAGGAAUUUGUAUUGCAGAACUAGGAUGAUCUGAAGUGGGUUGGUAUAAAAAAAGGUGAAGUAAUGUUACUGAAACAUGGUUUCUUAGCUUACAGUACUAAGCUCAAAUCUUUCCCAGACAAGAAACCAUACAGGUGUAUUUUCACUUGACUCUUUGAAGCCUUUUGAGAACCCUGAUAACCUUGGAGAUUAUCAUGUAUUAUUUAUAGUUACAUUCCUAUAGCGAUUAUUCCUCAUGCACUAUCAGACCUCCUUGUAAAAAGUUAAUUCAAAAGAUUCUAACAUUGGUGCCACAUAAAAAUCACCCAGUACACUCUGUAAAGUGGUUGGCAUUAGGAAGGGCGGGCAGCCAUAGAAACCAUACCAAAACAGACAAUUGGAACUGGCUUACCAGCAUAGGAAAUUUAAAUGAUGAUGAAUUAUUCCUCUCUGAUUGAGUUCUUUCUGAAAUCUUUCUUUCAAUAAAGUUGAGAUUUAAUAAAUAAAAAAUCAUUAAGAAAGCUA
Octopus sinensis (East Asian common octopus) is the source of this 2307-nucleotide long non-coding RNA. RefSeq lists it as uncharacterized. The record is from RefSeq and is a predicted model, not a curated record. NCBI's taxonomy places the organism in Eukaryota, Metazoa, Mollusca, Cephalopoda, Octopoda, Octopodidae. The transcript is spliced from 2 exons.